This is a non-coding RNA of Rattus norvegicus (Norway rat), 6192 nucleotides long. NCBI's taxonomy places the organism in Eukaryota, Metazoa, Chordata, Mammalia, Rodentia, Muridae. The record is from RefSeq and is a predicted model, not a curated record.
GGUGUGUGUGUGUGUGUGUGUGUACGCACAACCGCAUGUGGAUGUCAGAGGACAACUUGAUGGGAUCAAUUCUCUCUGUUCUCCAGCCAUGAAACUCAGAUUAUCAGUCCUGGUGGCAAUCACCUUCACAUGGUGAGUCAUGUGACUGGUCCUUAGUUUUUCUGCCUUGAGACAGCAUAGUGUGUUAGUGUCCUCGGCCUGCCUCAAGCGAUUCUCACCGCCUUAGAGCUACUGAGUUCUAGGUUAGCCCAGGUCUGUUCGUUCCUGGUUACAUGCUGCUCAUUCUUUACCUAGAACAGUUACGUCUUGAAAAUUUGGUAGAGAAACAUUUCUUUUUUUUUCUUUCUUUUUUUUUUUUUUUGGUUCUUUUUUUCGGAGCUGGGGACCGAACCCAGGGCCUUGUGCUUCCUAGGUAAGUGCUCUACCACUGAGCUAAAUCCCCAGCCCCUAGAGAAACAUUUCUUGAGUCGCUAAAUAGGCGCUGGUGUCCUGCAGCCGGUUUAGUUGAAGCGUGUUCAGAAAAGAGGAGGGCAUCUUUCUUUAGUACUAACAGGGUUGAGCUGAAUUAGGGAACCUCUCUGGCGCAGUCGGGAUUCAGCUGCCCUGGCGUUGUCAGGAGCCACAGCGUGGGAAUCGAGCUGUGCAGCAGCAACCAUAGAGAACUCACGGCGGGAGCGAGGGGCCGGAUGCGGUUACCAUAGAGACGGGUGACUGACAGGCAGCGGAAGAGGAAGCCGAGGGCUGGGCUGUGAGGUGGCAGUGGCUGCAAAGCGGAGCUCCUCGCCCGGCAGCAGGGUGGGCUCACCUGCGAGGCGGCUCCGUCGGCUGUGGGGUUUGGGUGUUCCUGUCCCCCUGACCGGCAUGACCUGAGAACCCGCUCGGUCUUACUCUACGCCGCGAGCUCCCUUCCGCCGCUCGAGUUCUCAGAGCAAACCAGCUGGACGCCGGGCCUUCUCUGCAGUCGCGGGACUAAUUUCUCUGCAGUAGGCGAUUAAUUUCUGUCUCCAGACGGCCGGCUAGGACUCGCUCUGUGCCUCCUGAGGGCUGGCACGGGGCUGUGGUCGCCAAGGGAAUAAUAGGGCACUGACUGGCGCAGGCAGGUGUCCUGUUGGAAGGUGGUGAGCCUCUACUGGCCUUCCCAGACCCCGCGUUUCUGUAACUGCUGCUGUCUCUCGGGUUGCUUUUGCUUUAUUUGGCUUUGUUUGAUAACCUCUAGCCACAGCAAGAGUGUCUGUAAUUUUGUCUCCUGCUGCUCUUCGAAAUGUGGGCAGCAUAGCUUUGCAGGACGAGUAGGAUGGCCAGCAAAAUGGUUCCAUCAGCCAUUGCUCUCCUCUGAGAGGCCAGCAGUGCUGAGUCACUGUGACUGUUCACCUCAUUUGGGUGGGCAGGUGGGUGGGCACCAUGCAUGGUUGGUGAUCUUAUCUGACAAGGAGGGCAUUUCUAGAGUCUGUGGAUUUCUUUGACACUCAGGAGCAGGGUGGAAGGAGGCGCUGACCCCUUCUCAAGUGCUAGCCUGCAGCCGCAGUAAGUCAGCAGUCCCUUCUGGGGCCUGAAGAGACAUAGUGGGCCAGGAUAUCUGCAGGAUAGGAUAGGGCGGCAGAGGCAGGCCCUUUAGGUCAGACUGCUGUUUGAAUAGUGCAUGCACUUUACCCUGCCUGGGUCAUCGGGUGCUGCUGACUUGAAUUAGGCCCAUGCUUCAAAUGGCUGUAGACCUUUUAGGGUUAGGCUUGGCAGUGUUGUACUUUCUUUUUUCUUUUUACUGGACUACAGACUGCAUUCCUAGUAGUGAGUGGCAUUGUUCACACAGACAUUAGUGUUUUAUUGAGGAGUGUAUCACUCAUGGCCACCGAAGACCAGACGUAGGGAGUUGGGAAGACUUUGUGGGGAUGCUGGGCCUGAAAGUCGACACACAUUGCUCCUUUCUCUGUUGCUGACCUCAUUGACUCCAGGUUCUCUGGCUAAAACCGUGGGACAACUGCUGGCCUGGGGCCCAUCAACCUACUAAUCCCUGAGACUGUGCCCCUGGGGCACCCUGUGUCAGGGCCUGCCACCAUGCGGCUGAGCUCCCUGCUGGCCGUGCUACGGCCAAUGCUCCCCCUCAUCCUGGGACUGUCUCUGGGAUGCAGCCUGAGCCUCCUUCGGGUUUCCUGGAUCCAGGGUGAGGGAGAAGAUCCCUGUGUAGAGGCUGUGGGGAAGCCAGGAGGGCCACAGAAUCCAGACUUGAAACACGGGCUGGACCAAAGCGAUGAAGACUUCAAACCUAGGAUUGUCCCCUACUACAGGGACCCUAACAAGCAUUACAAGAAGGUGCUCAGGACUCGGUAUAUACAGACAGAGCUGGGCUCCCGUGAGCGCUUGCUGGUGGCUGUCCUGACUUCUCGAGCCACACUAUCUACCCUGGCCGUCGCUGUUAACCGUACAGUGGCACAUCACUUCCCUCGGUUACUCUACUUCACGGGGCAGCGAGGGGCCCGGGCUCCUGCGGGGAUGCAGGUGGUGUCUCAUGGAGAUGAGCGGCCUGCCUGGCUCAUGUCAGAGACCCUGCGCCACCUUCACACACACUUUGGGGCAGACUAUGACUGGUUCUUCAUCAUGCAGGACGACACAUACGUGCAGGCCCCCAGACUGGCAGCUCUCGCUGGCCAUCUUAGCAUCAACCAAGACCUGUACUUGGGCCACGCAGAGGAGUUCAUUGGUACAGGAGAGCAGGCCCGGUACUGCCACGGGGGCUUCGGCUACCUGUUGUCACGGAGUCUCCUAUUGCGUUUGCGGCCGCAUCUGGAUGGCUGCCGAGGGGACAUUCUCAGUGCCCGGCCUGAUGAAUGGCUUGGCCGCUGCCUCAUCGACACUCUGGGCAUCGGCUGUGUCUCACAGCACCAGGGGCAACAGUAUCGCUCCUUCGAACUGGCCAAGAAUAGGGACCCUGAGAAGGAGGGGAGCCCUGCAUUCCUGAGUGCCUUCACCGUUCACCCUGUCUCCGAGGGUACCCUCAUGUACCGGCUCCACAAACGCUUCAGUGCCCUGGAGUUGGAGCGGGCCUACAAGGAGAUAGAACAACUGCAGGCUCAGAUCCGGAACCUGACAGUGCUGACCCCCGAGGGGGAGGCAGGGCUAAGCUGGCCUGUUGGGCUCCCAGCCCCAUUCAUUCCACACUCUCGAUUCGAGGUGUUGGGCUGGGACUACUUCACCGAGCAACACACCUUCGCCUGUGCAGACGGGGCUCCCAAGUGCCCGCUGCAGGGGGCUAGCAGGGCAGAUGUGGGGGAUGCCGUGGACACUGCCCUGGAGCAGCUCAAUCGGCGCUAUCAGCCCCGCUUGCGCUUCCAGAAGCAGCGGCUUCUCAACGGCUACAGGCGCUUUGACCCUGCGAGGGGCAUGGAGUACACCCUGGACUUGCUGCUGGAAGCCGUGACUCAACGAGGGCAUCGACGCUCCCUGGCCCGCAGAGUGAGCCUGCUGAGGCCACUGAGCAAAGUGGAAAUCCUGCCUAUGCCCUAUGUCACUGAGGCUACCCGGGUGCAGCUGGUGUUGCCGAUCCUGGUGGCCGAAGCUCCGGCUGCCCUGGCUUUUCUUGAAGCCUUUGCUGCCAGUGUUCUGGAGCCUCGAGAACAUGCAUUGCUCACCCUGUUGUUGGUCUAUGGGCCCCGGGAAGGCCGCGGGGGCCCUGACCCAUUUCUUGGAGUGAAGGCUGCAGCAGCUGAGUUAGAACGACGGUACCCCGGGACGAGGCUGGCCUGGCUUGCUGUUCGAGCGGAGGCCCCUUCCCAGGUGCGACUCAUGGAUGUCAUCUCCAAGAAACACCCCGUGGACACGCUUUUCUUCCUUACCACUGUGUGGACAAGACCUGGGUCGGAAGUCCUCAACCGCUGCCGUAUGAAUGCAAUCUCGGGCUGGCAGGCCUUCUUUCCGGUCCACUUUCAGGAGUUCAACCCCGUUCUGUCACCACAGAGAUCUCCCCCAGGUGUCCCUGGGGCUGGCCCUGACCCCCCAUCCCCUGGUGUGGACCCUUCUCGGGGAGCUCCAGUCGGGGGCAGAUUUGACCGGCAGGCAUCAGCAGAGGGCUGCUUCUACAACGCUGACUACCUGGCAGCCCGGGCCCGGCUGGCUGGUGAACUGGCAGGCCAGGAAGAGGAGGAAGCCCUGGAGGGGCUGGAGGUGAUGGAUGUUUUCCUCCGGUUCUCAGGGCUCCACCUCUUUCGAGCCGUAGAGCCAGGGCUGGUACAGAAGUUCUCCCUGAGGGACUGCAGCCCCCGGCUCAGUGAGGAACUGUACCACCGUUGUCGCCUCAGCAACUUGGAGGGGCUGGGUGCCCGUACCCAGCUAGCUAUGGCUCUGUUUGAGCAGGAGCAGGCCAACAGCACUUAGCUUCUCCACCCCUGGGUCUGCCAUAGCCCCAGGAAGGGCAAGGCAAGGCAAUGGACAGAUGGAGGGCUUGCCGCUGUAUUUUUUUAAAAAUAAGAAAUGUUAUUAAAAGUAUCUUCUGCCAAACUGUUUUUAGGUCUAGGGAGAGGGCUAAGAAGAAUCUGUAGGAGGGUCAUGGAGAGUUUGUCUGCCAGGUUCCACUGCCUUCCCCUCUCUUCUUCCCUCCCAUCCCAAUCCACAAUGACCACAAGGCUGCUGUCUGAUGAGUGACCUUUAAUCCAGCCCUCCCCAACCCCAGCACAGCACGGGAGAGGGAGUCCAGAGCCCAGGGUCCAUGCUGGGCAGCGAGGCUGGUCCACAGUGAUGCGUGUUCACAGGCUCCUAGGUGUUGCGCACAACUAGUGACUGCUCCAGCUCCUGCCUGCGCUGCUGGAUCUUUAGAGGAAGCGUGAGCAGGGGCAGGGUUACAAUGACCCUGGUGAGUGACCAGGGGCACCCCCUCCUGGCACCCCUUCCCUGGAAGAGUCUGGGAGCCAGGAGACUACUGCAUGGGGGUGUAGGGUGGUGGACAGGCGUUGGGCAUAGGCAGCAGCAAAGACUGUUGCCAGGUGAGAGGCAAGGCCUCUCUUAGGACUGAAGGAGAAGGAAGCCUCAUGUUCCAGGGCCUCCAUUACCUUACAGUAGAAGUAGCGGCUGACAGCUUCCUGGGACCAGGGCUGGUGGUAGAACUCAGCCCGGCGCUCUUCCUCGGGGUUACCGGCCACAUCUGUCAUCACCUGGGAGGGAGCACGGGGCCUGCGGUGAGUUCCAAGUGCCUCACCUGCCCGAGUUGCAUGCUCCUCUUCCCCUCCCUGUGUGCUUGUCUUCACAUCAGUGACCCCUGAGCCCCGUCUUCACCUUGAGAUCACGGCUCUGGGAGCGGAGCAGGUCUUGGACGUAGCCUUUGGGGUCUCUGGAGAAACUUAGCAUGAAGUCCCUCUGGAUCUUGAGCUGAUUUAUGGACUCAAUGGUCUCAUGGAUCUACAGGCCGCACCUUACUGUCCAGAGCACUGAUCUCCUGCUGGUUGGCGGUGGACAGGAGAAAGCUGCUCAUCUGCCCCUUCAGUGGUUCCUCCACCUCCACAUCAAUGUCAUAGCACGCGGUCUUCUUCUGGUCUGAUGGGUCCACGCUGCCAGAGAAGCCCAGCCUUUGAUGUCCAUGGUAUACCCCCACGGAAGCCCAGGGCUGGGGAGGGGACACAGGGAGGGGAGCAGGGAGGGGAGCAGAGAGCUCCCUCUGUGGGGAAGGCUGGGCCACCUCACCUGAUGACAUGGUUGAUCACAAUGGGGUCAGGAGGAAGCAGCAGGCCUGUGAGACGCUGGGGAAUCUCAGAAAACUUCAGGCGGGGACAGUCAAAAAUCUGAAGCAGGAGAGUUGAGAGGGAGAUCAUUCGUGUGUGUGUGUGUGUGUGUGUGUGUGUGUGUGUGUGUGUGUGUGUAAAGACAGUAGCUAAUAAUAGUCCUUCCAUUCUGGAAAGACCACAAGAAGCUGAGGGCAAGUCAGAAUUCUGGGCGCUGAUGGCUGUGGGCUGGGCUGGAGGUAGAGAAGCAGGAUAAUUAGGGGGCCAGUGUGGGGUCCUAAGUCAGCCUGCUUGAGCGUUUGUCCCUUCUGCCACAUCCUGUGAGAAGUUACCUAGCACCUUGGGUCUUAGUGCCUUCACUUCCAGAAUAGGGAUAUUACCAACCCCAUCUCAUGGGUGGUUAUGAGAACCGGGUGAAUCUGCAGAGCAGGAAGUGUCUGAAGUGGUACAUGGUAAAUGCUCAAUAAACACCAGCUACUCUUUCUCCUCA